This 107-nucleotide small nuclear RNA is filed under the name Chinchilla lanigera (long-tailed chinchilla). Lineage: Eukaryota; Metazoa; Chordata; Mammalia; Rodentia; Chinchillidae. The record is from RNAcentral.
GUGCUCACUUUGGCAGCAUGUAUACUAAAAUUGGAAUGAUACAGAGAAGAUUAGGAUGGCCUCUCCACAAGGAUGACAGGCAAAUUUGUGAAGUAUUCCACAUUUUU